UACGAGGGGGGCAAAUGUUGUUCGGAAUCACUGGGCGUAAAGGGAGCGUAGGCGGGUUUCUAAGUCAGGUGUUUAAUCCCGGGGCCCAACCCCGGACAGGCACUUGAAACUGGGAAUCUUGAAUAGUGGAGAGGUCAGUGGAAUUGGGGGUGUAGCGGUGGAAUGCGUAGAGAUCCCCAAGAACACCCGUGGCGAAGGCGGCCUGCUGGGCCGGACCUGACGCUGAGGCGCGAAGGCGUGGGGAGCGAACGGG
RNAcentral lists this ribosomal RNA (253 nucleotides) under uncultured bacterium. RNAcentral's name for it is "partial 16S ribosomal RNA". It matches the Rfam family "Bacterial small subunit ribosomal RNA", at positions 524 to 776 of the family's 1533-position model. The record is from RNAcentral.